AGGUAAGCUACUAAGAGCGAAUGGUGGAUGCCUUGACUGGUAAAGGCGAUGAAGGACGUACUAGACUGCGAUAAGCUACGGGGAGCUGUCAAGAAGCUUUGAUCCGUAGAUUUCCGAAUGGGGCAACCCAAUGUAUAGAGAUAUACAUUACCUAUAUAGGAGCGAACGAGGGGAAUUGAAACAUCUUAGUACCCUCAGGAAAAGAAAUCAAUAGAGAUUGCGUCAGUAGCGGCGAGCGAAAGCGCAAGAGGGCAAACCCAGUGCUUGCACUGGGGGUUGUAGGACUGCAAUGUGCAAGAGGUGAGUUUAGCAGAACAUUCUGGAAAGUAUAGCCAUAGAGGGUGAUAGUCCCGUAUGCGAAAAACAAACCUUAGCUAGCAGUAUCCUGAGUAGGGCGGGACACGAGAAAUCCUGUCUGAAGCUGGGUCGACCACGAUCCAACCCUAAAUACUAAUACCAGAUCGAUAGUGCACAAGUACCGUGAGGGAAAGGUGAAAAGAACUGAGGUGAUCAGAGUGAAAUAGAACCUGAAACCAUUUGCUUACAAUCAUUCAGAGCCCUAUGUAGCAAUACAGGGUGAUGGACUGCCUUUUGCAUAAUGAGCCUGCGAGUUGUGGUGUCUGGCAAGGUUAAGCAAACGCGAAGCCGUAGCGAAAGCGAGUCUGAAUAGGGCGCUUAGUCAGAUGCUGCAGACCCGAAACGAAGUGAUCUAUCCAUGAGCAAGUUGAAGCUAGUGUAAGAACUAGUGGAGGACUGAACCCAUAGGCGUUGAAAAGCCCCGGGAUGACUUGUGGAUAGGGGUGAAAGGCCAAUCAAACUUCGUGAUAGCUGGUUCUCUCCGAAAUAUAUUUAGGUAUAGCGUUGUGUCGUAAUAUAAGGGGGUAGAGCACUGAAUGGGCUAGGGCAUACACCAAUGUACCAAACCCUAUCAAACUCCGAAUACCUUAUAUGUAAUCACAGCAGUCAGGCGGCGAGUGAUAAAAUCCGUCGUCAAGAGGGAAACAACCCAGACUACCAGCUAAGGUCCCUAAAUCUUACUUAAGUGGAAAACGAUGUGAAGUUACUUAAACAACCAGGAGGUUGGCUUAGAAGCAGCCAUCCUUUAAAGAAAGCGUAAUAGCUCACUGGUCUAGUGAUUUUGCGCGGAAAAUAUAACGGGGCUAAAGUAAGUACCGAAGCUGUAGACUUGCGCACAACUUAGAUUAUUUAAGUUUAGAAUAUGAGAAACUAAGUUAUAUGUUUAGUUAUAUUUUUACUGAUUUUUAUAGAGUAAAGAUAGAA
This 1281-nucleotide ribosomal RNA is filed under the name Campylobacter coli. RNAcentral describes it as "partial 23S ribosomal RNA". It matches the Rfam family "Bacterial large subunit ribosomal RNA", at positions 1 to 1233 of the family's 2925-position model. Lineage: Bacteria; Pseudomonadati; Campylobacterota; Epsilonproteobacteria; Campylobacterales; Campylobacteraceae. The record is from RNAcentral.